This 506-nucleotide ribosomal RNA is filed under the name uncultured bacterium. RNAcentral describes it as "partial 16S ribosomal RNA". It matches the Rfam family "Bacterial small subunit ribosomal RNA", at positions 29 to 523 of the family's 1533-position model. The record is from RNAcentral.
AGUGAACGCUGGCGGUAGGCCUAACACAUGCAAGUCGAACGGCAGCACAGGAGAGCUUGCUCUCUGGGUGGCGAGUGGCGGACGGGUGAGGAAUACAUCGGAAUCUACUCUGUCGUGGGGGAUAACGUAGGGAAACUUACGCUAAUACCGCAUACGACCUACGGGUGAAAGCAGGGGACCUUCGGGCCUUGCGCGAUUGAAUGAGCCGAUGCCGGAUUAGCUAGUUGGCGGGGUAAAGGCCCACCAAGGCGACGAUCCGUAGCUGGUCUGGGAGGAUGAUCAGCCACACUGGAACUGAGACACGGUCCAGACUCCUACGGGAGGCAGCAGUGGGGAAUAUUGGACAGUGGGCGCAAGCCUGAUCCAGCCAUACCGCGUGGGUGAAGAAGGCCUUCGGGUUGUAAAGCCCUUUUGUUGGGAAAGAAAUCCAGCUGGCUAAUACCCGGUUGGGAUGACGGUACCCAAAGAAUAAGCACCGGCUAACUUCGUGCCAGCCGCCGCGGUAA